UACAUGCAGUCGAGCGGACGUUUAAGAACAUUGCUUUUAAAGUUAGCGGCGGACGGGUGAGUAACACGUGGGCAACCUGCCUGUAAGACUGGGAUAACUUCGGGAAACCGGAGCUAAUACCGGAUAAUCCUUUUCCUCUCAUGAGGAAAAGCUGAAAGACGGCAUCUCGCUGUCACUUACAGAUGGGCCCGCGGCGCAUUAGCUAGUUGGUGAGGUAACGGCUCACCAAGGCAACGAUGCGUAGCCGACCUGAGAGGGUGAUCGGCCACACUGGGACUGAGACACGGCCCAGACUCCUACGGGAGGCAGCAGUAGGGAAUCUUCCGCAAUGGACGAAAGUCUGACGGAGCAACGCCGCGUGAGUGAUGAAGGUUUUCGGAUCGUAAAGCUCUGUUGUUAGGGAAGAACAAGUACAAGAGUAACUGCUUGUACCUUGACGGUACCUAAACAGAAAGCCACGGCUAACUACGUGACAACAGCCGCGGUAAUACGUAGGUGGCAAGCGUUGUCCGGAAUUAUUGGGCGUAAAGCGCGUGGAGGGGGUCCUUUAAGUCUGAUUUGAAAGCCCACGGUUCAACCGUGGACCCCCAUUGGAAACUGUAAGACUUGAGUGCAGAAAAAAAAAGUGAAAACCCCCUGUAGCUUUGAAAUGCCCAUUAAUGGGGAGGAACACCAG
This 676-nucleotide ribosomal RNA is filed under the name Niallia circulans. RNAcentral's name for it is "bacterial SSU rRNA". It matches the Rfam family "Bacterial small subunit ribosomal RNA", at positions 52 to 712 of the family's 1533-position model. Lineage: Bacteria; Bacillati; Bacillota; Bacilli; Caryophanales; Bacillaceae. The record is from RNAcentral.